GCGGCAGACUACCAUGCAGUCGAGCGGCAGCGGGAGGUGCUUGCACCUCGCCGGCGAGCGGCGGACGGGUGAGUAAUGCAUAGGAAUCUGCCCGGUAGUGGGGGAUAACCUGGGGAAACCCAGGCUAAUACCGCAUACGCCCCACGGGGGAAAGCAGGGGACCUUCGGGCCUUGCGCUAUCGGAUGAGCCUAUGUCGGAUUAGCUGGUUGGUGAGGUAACGGCUCACCAAGGCGACGAUCCGUAGCUGGUCUGAGAGGAUGAUCAGCCACACUGGGACUGAGACGCGGCCCAGACUCCUACGGGAGGCAGCAGUGGGGAAUAUUGGACAAUGGGCGCAAGCCUGAUCCAGCCAUGCCGCGUGUGUGAAGAAGGCCCUCGGGUUGUAAAGCACUUUCAGCGGGGAAGAACGCCUCGGGGCCAAUACCCCCGAGGAGGGACAUCACCCGCAGAAGAAGCACCGGCUAACUCCGUGCCAGCAGCCGCGGUAA
RNAcentral lists this ribosomal RNA (489 nucleotides) under uncultured Chromohalobacter sp. RNAcentral describes it as "bacterial SSU rRNA". It matches the Rfam family "Bacterial small subunit ribosomal RNA", at positions 39 to 523 of the family's 1533-position model. Lineage: Bacteria; Pseudomonadati; Pseudomonadota; Gammaproteobacteria; Oceanospirillales; Halomonadaceae. The record is from RNAcentral.